GAGCGUAGAGGACUGGAGCCAGGACGC
This 27-nucleotide small RNA is filed under the name Bombyx mori (domestic silkworm). RNAcentral describes it as "ovarian small RNA-5152". Lineage: Eukaryota; Metazoa; Arthropoda; Insecta; Lepidoptera; Bombycidae. The record is from RNAcentral.